AAGAACAUUUUUUGCAUAAUGCGUCUCACAAAUCCAAAUACCAAUUUCGGCCAAAGAGGAAGUAUUUGCAAAGUGUAAGAACAUUACACAGUUGAUCCAGUUUGCAGCCAUCCGUAUGUAAAUACAACAUAUCAAUUUACAAAGUCCUUCUAUGAAGUGAUAACUUACAAGCAUAGAUGGACAAUAUAUCACACAGCAAGGUUAGGAACCAGUACAACCCAUUUUACUCAACAUAACUCAACAUAACAUAUAAGCUAUUGAGGCUAUUAUUCAUGUUCUUCCUGUCGGUCCUCCUGUGGUAACUGUCACGUCAAGGCUGAUUGUGAUGGUAGCACCAAGUAGCUCUCUACCUAAUCUUCCCUGGCAUAUUUACAAGAACCUUAUUAGAUAUUUGUAGAUAUGAAUAGAUCACAGAAAUAAGAGAAUAAAACAAAAAUAAAAAUGAACUAUAUGUUAUCCAAAAUUCUUAAAUCUUAUAGUGCAUACAAAUGAGAAUAACAUUGCAUGUACUAUAAAACGAGAGUAAACAUGAAGUUGCUUAAAAUUAAUCCAAAGAAAAGCCUGUCAAAUGAAAGUUAAAUGACAAAGAAACAAAACAUACAUCACAAAACUCAAGAACUAUUGUAGUAGCAGUUGAGGCCAUAUAAACAUGCCAACAAAUGGCAUCACUAACAAACAAUAGCCUCGCCGUGAUGUGUAAACUUGUUGACACGUGAACAUUUGAAGUUUACGCCAACCGGGUCAACGAGCAGCGGCAUAAAACUCAACGUUUAUGCUGCAAGUACAUCUCAAAGGGCUGACUAGUAAACAAUACUUGCUGCCCACUUGACAAACAUAGUACUAUUAUUUAUAACGGGAAACAAUAAUGAAAUGAAAUGAAUCAGUAUAUAUGUAUACAGGGUGACAACAGUAGGAACAAGGCUUGUGCAUGUGUGAGAGAUGAUUCAUCAUCACUGCAUGUAUAUUAAUAGUGCAAGCAUGUAUAUGCAUCAGCAGCAAAACAAGAUAUGCUAAAACAUGUAUUGUUUUAAUGUGAUACUACAUGUAUAAUAAACAAGGUUGUAGUGCAGCCACCUAGUGCUAUACAUAUUCAGUUUCCUAGCAGCAAGGAUGCCAGGAAGCACGUGGUACACAUAUUAGAUAUUAGAUAUUAGAUAUUAAAAAGUUGAUAUACCUUCUUAAGACUGUUAGAUAUUAGAUUUCAAAGCAGCAAGAACAGCCAAGUAUUUUUCCAUAGCCUGCACAAGAUAACGUGAUGUGAAUGCACCUGCAAGCACAAAAUUCAGACUGUGAGCUACCAUAAACCAUAUUAAAACAUAUAUGCUAUUUUUUUGAGAAGUCUGUUAGAUGUUAGGUUCACACUAUUGUUUACCAAAAUUGAGAUAGAUAAUAGUAGUAUCAAUCUUUUCUUAAUAAUCCCUAUUUCCUUUACUUACUUGGAUCCUAGUUUCUUUGUGCGUCUAUAAAAAAACAAAUCUCUUUGGCCAAUAAUAAACCUAAGUUAUUUUUCAAAAUGUAGUGAUUUUUAUAGUUGCCUUUUCAAGCAUGCUCCAUAUUUUCCCAUAACUAGAAUAUCCUUAAGCUAUUAAUUUCCAAAUUUAUGCAUGAUGCAAACAGUUCACCGGUAAACCUUUGAUAUAUCGUAUAUUUAAAUAUCACAAAACAAAGUCCUAGCUUAUUGCAAAGCAAUGCUGCAAAACUAAAACAUAUCAGAGAGAACACACUACACAUGGUAUAUCGAAUAGAAUAACUGAUGAGAGGCAAGUUCCAACUCCAUUGUCCAGAAUAUCUAGAAUGUGGGCUAUAUCAAGUUGAUAUUGAUCUGUCUGUCCAAAAUCCUCUGAAGGCAGAAGUACGACUACGAAAAUACAUGUUAGCUCUUAUAACACGUAAAAGACAGAGUUGGCGGGAUCAAUGAUUUUCUGAAUUGUGGCCAAACCUCAUACAGAACUUGAAACAAACAUAUGCUGCUUGACACCAGAGACAAUUAGAAUUCUGGUUCACAUCCUAGUUAUGCUUAAUGACAUCAACUAGAUUCUUGUUACUUAAAUUGACUAUGCUAACCCAUGUACUAUAGCCACAAUAGGAGUAAUCGUGGCUAUAAGAAAUCUUGAUCAACAGAUGCAUGUAUCAUUCAAAAAUAUUGGAAUAAAGUAUCAAGUGGUCAGAGCAUACCAUUAUUCCCUUGCUACUGAACACACAUUAUUUAAGGCAUUUGCUUAAAUUCAGAGUGCACUUAUGAAACAGGGGUGUUCAGAUUCACGACUUGCUGACCUGGCUCAACUUGGAUGCUUCCAUCAACUGCCUGUUGUCUCGGCAUAUUUGUUGGUUCACACCGGCAACCAACAAUCGACAUCACCAUCAUACAUUCACUUCUCUGAGAUACAUAUCAAAUCAAACACUAAAAAAUUAGUGAGUGAAACAGGAUACACUGUGUAUAUUAACCAAGAUAAUUACCACAGUUGAACAAGUGAAAUAUAUAUGUAUAAGUGAUAUGCAUAUUAAACCAGAGGAGAUAUGCAGAAGUACAAGUGCUUAACUAUAAAGAAUCUAUAAAGCCUCAAUUAGCCCCCACAAAACUUCUCAUUUCAAGUCAUUUGGAUUGCCUCUUUAUUAAGCUUGACACCAAAAUUAUUACUGCACAAGGUAAACAUAUAUGUUCCAUGGUUCCAAGAACAGUAACUUGUUCAAACAUAUACGGAUGAACACGCUUAGUCAGCCAAAGCACAUCCUACAAAGAAAAGAAGGGCUGGAGGAGAGGAAAAGGGGUUUGAGGUGUUCACCUGGGCAAGGGAGGGCCUCCAGUGGUCCAAAUGCAGCGGAGGAGGUUGCCAUAUGACGCACCACCAUGCCGGAGAUGCGGGGGAGGAGGUUGGGGUCGCUGUCGUGCAACUCGGCGCACGCGGGCGAGCGCCCCGAACAAGGAAGGCGACAUCCAGGAGGAGGAGAGGGCGCGAGGGGGCGCGGUGUGCGGCGGAGCAAAGCCGCCGGAGACGCGGCGACGAUGGACGCGACGACGCAGCCGAAACCCUAGCCACGGGCUAAUGGUCGCAGACGAGCUCCGGAGACGUGAGCCGCGG
RNAcentral lists this long non-coding RNA (3080 nucleotides) under Triticum aestivum (bread wheat). RNAcentral describes it as "long non-coding RNA (TAES_LNC006568)". Lineage: Eukaryota; Viridiplantae; Streptophyta; Magnoliopsida; Poales; Poaceae. The record is from RNAcentral.